Molecule: long non-coding RNA, 647 nt
Filed under: Mytilus galloprovincialis (Mediterranean mussel)
Lineage: Eukaryota; Metazoa; Mollusca; Bivalvia; Mytilida; Mytilidae
Source: RNAcentral
GUUAAAUUCCGAAAUUAAUGUCACGGCCAAUGUCAGUUUGAAGCUUUAGCCGACACAGUUUCAUCGAUAUUAGUGCUAUAAUAAUAAUGAUAAUGCUGUAAAUGAAUAAAUAAAAAAAAUACAACACACAUAAAUCAGACAAUGUCUUCCUAUUAUAGGAAUCAACGGUAAAAUUCAAGGUUAGACUGACCUGACUUUAUUAUGACACAUCACCAUUCCAUAUAUCUGCAUACUAAGUUUGGUCAACAUAAUGUCUAUGGUACAAACGUUAUGCAAUGAACACAAAUAAGACAAGGUUUUAACAACAUAGGGGCCAAAAGUCAGAGUGGUCUGAAUUUAAUAUAAGAUACACCCAAUGUCCAUGAAGCAUCUUCAUACCAAGUUAAGUUAACCAAAAGAUAUGAGCCGGAAGAGUGGUCAAAGGUGAGUCAAGGUCAGAGUGACUAGACAUUGGUUUAUGACUAACCCCAGUCUAUGAUGCAACUGCAUACCAGGCAUGGCUAACCUAAGUUUAACUGUACAAAAGUAAAUAAGAAGCAAAACGGAUGGACAGACAGACAGACGGACAUAUUGAUUUUUAUAUACCACCGAACUUUGUAUACAGGAUUUAUAGGAAACCAAGAGGAGGUCAAAAUUAGGAAAUUUAC